Physeter macrocephalus (sperm whale) is the source of this 110-nucleotide small nuclear RNA. NCBI's taxonomy places the organism in Eukaryota, Metazoa, Chordata, Mammalia, Artiodactyla, Physeteridae. The record is from Ensembl.
UACUGCACUCACUUCGGCAGCACAUAUAAAACACUGGAAUGAUACAGAGAAGAUUAGCAUGGCCCCUGCACAAGGAUGACAGGCAAAUUCAUGAAGCAUUCCAUAUUUUU